This 4690-nucleotide long non-coding RNA is filed under the name Brassica napus (rape). RNAcentral describes it as "long non-coding RNA (BNAP_LNC025657)". Lineage: Eukaryota; Viridiplantae; Streptophyta; Magnoliopsida; Brassicales; Brassicaceae. The record is from RNAcentral.
UUUGUAGCAGCAGUCCUUCUUACUAUAAGCAGAGUGACUCUAAAUCUUUACUAGAAAAUUGGUUUGAAAAAGAUAAUAUAACAACUACUUCAUAAAUAUCAGAAACAGAGUAUCUCUCACUUUUUGGACACAUAACUGGUCUCAUUUUUAUCACAUUUGGUCUAGUCUGAAUAUUUAAUUAUAUUCAUGCGUAGAAUAAGAUAACUUUCGUCUAUAUAAAAGUAGAAAAGAGAGCAUCUCUAUAAGUGUUUUACUAUAUUUGCGACAGGUGAUUUGGUGAUCUGCCCUGAAGGUACGACUUGUAGAGAACCGUAUCUGCUGCGAUUCAGUGCUCUAUUUGCAGAGCUAAGCGACCGGAUCGUACCUGUGGCCAUGAACUGUAAGCAAGGGAUGUUCAAUGGAACGACAGUCAGAGGUGUAAAAUUCUGGGAUCCUUACUUCUUCUUCAUGAACCCAAGACCUAGCUACGAGGCCACUUUCUUGGACCGUUUGCCUGAAGAAAUGACGGUAAACGGCGGCGGUAAAACUCCAAUCGAGGUGGCUAAUUACGUUCAGAAGGUGAUUGGUGGAGUAUUGGGGUUCGAGUGCACUGAACUUACAAGGAAAGAUAAGUAUCUUUUGCUUGGAGGCAACGACGGUAAGGUUGAGUCUAUCAAGAAGACAAAGGAGUGAUAAAUCCAGCUAGUUACGGCUUUCUACUUUUUAAUGGAUUGUUGGAGGAAAAACUUUCGUUGAACAUGCAUUGGAUAAUGAAUUACAUUUAAUGAUUUUAGUAUUUUCCCCUCAUCUUUUUGAAUGAUAUAUUAAUUAGUAGCAUACUCUAAAAUAUAUUCCCUUUCAAAUAUGAAAGAAAAACAAACAAAGUCCGGUAAAGAUUGUGGCUCAGUCGUUUCCCAUUGUAGUUUGUUUAUGAUCAUUUUUUUUCUUGAUGAAUUUGGAAUGUGGAUACUACUUUUAGCAAAAAAAAAUUGGAUAAUAUUAAUAUACAAGUGACUGGCCAUAUAGUAUAUGGUAACUUUUCCCAUGUAAUGUUAAAAACUGAUCUCUAAUUGGACGCCAAAAAAAAGUUUUUUAAAAGUUGCUCCAAAUAUGCAUGCAUGCAAACCUUAUAAAACCAAUAUUCAGAGCCUUGUUUUUGUUUGUUAUGAAAUGAAGAAACGAGACUCUCGUUACGAGAGAGCUAGUUGGAAAGAUUAUAGAGAAUACAAUACAUUCAUAUAUGAAAUAAAAUUUCAAGUUUACAGAAACAAAACAAAGCCAGAAAGUUACUAUUGAAAAAAAAAAAAAAGUUACUAUUGAAGUGUAUAUGCUUACAGUUUCAUGUUGAACAAAUUUAAAACCAUUAAUCGUAUUUCUGUCCAACAUGUUUUUUUUUCUUCUUUGGAAUAAAAAAUGUGUUUAUAAAUCAGAGACGUUGUCGGCUCUAAGCCAACGUAACUUCCAUUGCUUACCAUCAUCCAUCAAACGGCGACGCCGUCACAUUUGCCGUCGAUGACACCGUCACCCUUCGCCACCACUAGACUCUUUAUGGUUCCUUCGAGAUCCCUCUUAUGCAGAUUAACCAGAAGCCCGUUCUUCAUAAAAAGAGUCAAAGACAUCUUCUGCUCCACUCUGUGUCCCGGAACCACCGUGAUCCGGUGACGUAGAAGCACCGCGGCCGCGAUGCUCUUCAUCUGAAGAUAGGCAAGAUCUUUUCCGAGGCAGAUCCUUGGUCCUGCAUUGAAUGCCACGAAUCUAUACUGGUCGUGGUUUAUGAAUUUGCCGUCGAUGGGGGAGAUCCAUCUCUCCGGGAUAAACUCGAGACAAUCUUCUCCCCAAGUCGACUUCAUCCUCCCCGCCGCGUAUAUCGAGUAACUCACCGAAGAUCCCGCCGGCACGAAAGUCCCGUCAGGUAAAACGUCGUCGUUCUCCACGUGCUUCGAUCACCACUUUUCAUUAUAUUUACAUACUAAUGCAAACCUAUGUAGUAAAAUUAAUCACAUAUUGAAUUAUGACUUAUAAAAUGUAAUCGUAUAACAAAAAGAUGGAUGGUUUAAGCCAAAGACUUUGUUACGACUCUUGUAAUGGGGAAUUUAUAUAUUUAAGUGAGAAUGAUGACAAAGUGAGAAAGAAUCAGGUUAUAAUUGUUAGAAAUGAUAGUUUAAGGAUAAAUUUGUAAAGAAGUCAUAUUGGAUAAGGAGUGACAAUAUUAUAAAUCGGUAAGGAAUGCAGCGCAUUUAAAACAAGAAAGACCCCUUCCCUCUCUUUCUUUCCAAGAUUCUCUCUCUCUGUUUACCAUCAAAGAGAGAUCGAAAAAUGUCUCCGGCAAAGAAGAAGAGCAGAAGCUUUCCUCCGAUAAGCGAGUGUAAACGUGGAGAGUAUGAUUCGAUCGCCGCAGAUCUCGACGGGACUAUGCUCCUCUCGAGAAGCUCCUUCCCUUAUUUCAUGCUCGUCGCCAUAGAAGCAGGCAGUCUCUUCCGUGGAUUGAUCCUCCUUCUAUCUCUCCCGAUCGUCAUCAUCGCUUACCUCUUCGUCUCCGAAGCUCUCGGCAUCCAAAUCCUCAUCUACAUCUCCUUCGCCGGCAUCAAAAUCCGCGACAUCGAACUCGUCUCUCGCGCCGUUCUUCCACGGUUCUACGCGGCGGAUGUGAGGAAGGACAGUUUCGAGGUGUUUGAUAAAUGCAAGAGGAAAGUGGUGGUCACUGCGAACCCCAUAGUGAUGGUUGAGCCUUUCGUGAAGGAUUACUUGGGAGGAGACAAAGUUUUAGGAACAGAGAUCGAAGUGAAUCCUAAAACAAUGAAAGCCACUGGGUUUGUGAAGAAGCCUGGUGUUCUUGUUGGCGAUUUGAAAAGAUUAGCCAUCUUAAAGGAGUUUGGAGACGAAUCACCGGAUCUUGGCCUUGGUGACCGCACCUCCGAUCACGACUUCAUGUCCAUUUGCAAGGUGCGUAUUAUCUCCUUUUCCAAGCUUAUUUUACGUUUCUUGAAUCGUUUAAACACCCGAUUUAGGUGGCCUAGUUAAUUAAGUUGAGUGUCUGAUACUUCAAAAACCUUUCGUAAUCAAAGAAUUUAAGUACUUUAAAUGAAUGCAGUAGGACCUAUAUUAAUGCCGCGUUAAGGGUUCACAUGAUCUAGCUAGUGGGAUAGAUUAUACAAUAAUUUGUCCAUCCACCCCCUUUUUUAACAUUUUAACAGCCUUCACAUGAUCCAUUUACGUCCAGAUGAUUUAUUUACUUUGUAUGUGUAUGUCUGCAUGGAAACAAUUAGAUUAAGUAUUCUUCUAAUGUUUUUGAAAAACUGAUUUAGCAUACAAAAAAAACUUGUAAUCAUACGUAUAUGUGAAUUCAAUAAAUGAAUGUAAUAAAAUUCAACUUACAAAAAGUAGGUAGAUAGAAUAUGAUAGAAGUAGUAGUUUUCAUAAAUGCUUUAAACCUAUCACCAACUACCAUCCCCACGUAAGUUGGAUGGUCCAUUUAAUGACCGAUCCCAUAUGUCAACAUUUUUUUUCUUUUUUUUCUCAUAUACCCUGAAACUUUCAGUAUUUUACCAUAUUUCUUACUAUAAUAGUGAAACUUUUGAAUCUUUUAAAUGAUUGGUAACGAGUUGCUUAUUUUAACUGCAACAGGAAGGUUACAUGGUGCAUGAGACCAAAUCAGCCACAACAGUCCCCAUAGAGCGUCUCAAGAACCGCAUAAUCUUCCACGACGGCCGUCUAGUCCAACGUCCGACGCCUUUAAACGCCUUAAUCAUUUACCUUUGGCUUCCUUUCGGCUUCAUGCUUUCCAUCUUCCGCGUCUACUUCAACCUUCCUCUACCUGAACGCUUCGUUCGUUACACUUACGAGAUCCUCGGUAUUCACCUCACUAUCCGCGGCCACCGUCCCCCUCCUCCUUCCCCCGGCACUCCCGGAAACCUCUACGUCCUUAACCACCGUACCGCUCUUGACCCCAUCAUCAUCGCCAUUGCUCUCGGCCGUAAGAUCUCAUGCGUCACUUAUAGUGUCUCUCGCCUCUCCCGGAUGCUCUCACCCAUCCCUGCCGUCGCUCUCACCCGAGACCGUGCCGCCGAUGCUGCCCGCAUGAGAAAACUCCUAGAGAAAGGUAUUUGUAGCAGCAGUCCUUCUUACUAUAAGCAGAGUGACUCUAAAUCUUUACUAGAAAAUUGGUUUGAAAAAGAUAAUAUAACAACUACUUCAUAAAUAUCAGAAACAGAGUAUCUCUCACUUUUUGGACACAUAACUGGUCUCAUUUUUAUCACAUUUGGUCUAGUCUGAAUAUUUAAUCAUAUUCAUGCGUAGAAUAAGAUAACUUUCGUCUAUAUAAAAGUAGAAAAGAGAGCAUCUCUAUAAGUGUUUUACUAUAUUUGCGACAGGUGAUUUGGUGAUCUGCCCUGAAGGUACGACUUGUAGAGAACCGUAUCUGCUGCGAUUCAGUGCUCUAUUUGCAGAGCUAAGCGACCGGAUCGUACCUGUGGCCAUGAACUGUAAGCAAGGGAUGUUCAAUGGAACGACAGUCAGAGGUGUAAAAUUCUGGGAUCCUUACUUCUUCUUCAUGAACCCAAGACCUAGCUACGAGGCCACUUUCUUGGACCGUUUGCCUGAAGAAAUGACGGUAAACGGCGGCGGUAAAACUCCAAUCGAGGUGGCUAAUUACGUUCAGAAGGUGAUUGGUGGAGUAUUGGGGUUCGAGUGCACUGAACUUACAAGGAAAGAU